Molecule: ribosomal RNA, 305 nt
Filed under: uncultured bacterium
Lineage: Bacteria
Description: bacterial SSU rRNA
Rfam family: Bacterial small subunit ribosomal RNA
Source: RNAcentral
UUUUCCUACGGGGGGCAGCAGUAGGGAAUCUUCCACAAUGGACGAAACCCUGAUGCAGCGACGCCGCGUGAGUGAGGAAGUAUUUCGGUAUGUAAAGCUCUAUCAGCAGGGAAGAAAAUGACGGUACCUGACUAAGAAGCCCCGGCUAACUACGUGCCAGCAGCCGCGGUAAUACGUAGGGGGCAAGCGUUAUCCGGAUUUACUGGGUGUAAAGGGAGCGUAGACGGAGGAGCAAGUCUGAUGUGAAAAUCCGGGGCCCAACCCCGGAACUGCAUUGAAAACUGUUAAUCUAGAGUGUCGGAGAG